This 489-nucleotide ribosomal RNA is filed under the name uncultured Methanosaeta sp. RNAcentral describes it as "bacterial SSU rRNA". It matches the Rfam family "Archaeal small subunit ribosomal RNA", at positions 858 to 1338 of the family's 1478-position model. The record is from RNAcentral. Lineage: Archaea; Methanobacteriati; Methanobacteriota; Methanomicrobia; Methanotrichales; Methanotrichaceae.
AGAAACUACAAAGGAAGUUGACGGGGAGCACUACAACGGGUGGAGCCUGCGGUUUAAUUGGAUUCAACGCCGGAAAUCUCACCGGGGCGACAGCAAUAUGAAGGUCAGGCUGAAGACCUUACCCGAUUAGCUGAGAGGUGGUGCAUGGCCGUCGUCAGUUCGUACUGUGAAGCAUCCUGUUAAGUCAGGCAACGAGCGAGACCCACGUCCACAGUUGCCAGCAUACCCUCCGGGGUGAUGGGUACACUGUGGAGACCGCCGCUGCUAAAGCGGAGGAAGGAGUGGGCAACGGUAGGUCAGUAUGCCCCGAAUCUCCCGGGCUACACGCGGGCUACAAUGGUUGGUACAAUGGGCAUCUACCCCGAAAGGGGAAGGAAAUCUCUUAAAGCCAAUCGUAGUUCGGAUUGAGGGCUGCAACUCGCCCUCAUGAAGCUGGAAUCCGUAGUAAUCGCGUUUCAACAGAACGCGGUGAAUACGUCCCUGCUCCUU